Oncorhynchus tshawytscha (Chinook salmon) is the source of this 1179-nucleotide long non-coding RNA. The record is from Ensembl. NCBI's taxonomy places the organism in Eukaryota, Metazoa, Chordata, Actinopteri, Salmoniformes, Salmonidae.
CUAGGAGGGAGCAGUAGGUACUCGGAGGGAGCAGUAUGUACUAGGAGGGAGCAGUAUGUACUAGGAGGGAGCAGUAUGUACUAGGGGGGAGCAGUAUGUACUAGGAGGGAGCAGUAUGUACUAGGAGGGUGCAGUAUGUACUAGGAGGGAGCAGUAUGUACUAGGAGGGAGCAGGCUUUACAAGGGGGGAGCAGUGUGUACUAGUGGGGAGCAGUAUGUACUAGGAGGGAACAGUAUGUACUGGGAGGGAGCAGUAUGUACUAGGAGGGAGCAGUAUGUACUGGGAGGGAGCAGUGUGUACUGGGAGGGAGCAGUAUGUACUAGGAGGGUGCAGUAUGUACUAGUGGGGAGCAGUAUGUACUGGGAGGGAGCAGUAUGUACUAGUGGGGAGCAGUGUGUACUAGGAGGGAGCAGUAUGUACUAGGAGGGAACAGUAUGUACUAGGAGGGAGCAGUGUGUACUAGGAGGGAGCAGAGUGUACUAGUGGGGAGCAGUAUGUAUUAGGAGGGAGCUGUGUGUACUAGGAGGGAGCAGUAUGUACUAGGAGGGAGCAGUGUGUACUAGGGGGGAGCAGUAUGUACUAGGGGGGAGCAGUAUGUACUAGGGGGGAGCAGUAUGUACUGGGAGGGAGCAGUAUGUACUAGGAGGGAGAAGUAUGUACUACGAGGGAGCAGUAUGUACUAGGAGGGAGUAGUGUGUACUACAAGGGAACAGUAUGUACUAUGAGGGAGCAGUAUGUACUAGGAGGGAGCAGUAUGUACUAGGAGGGAGCAGUAUGUACUGGGAGGGUAGCAGUAUGUACUGGGAGGGAGCAGUAUGUACUAGGAGGGAGUAUGUACUAUGUACUAGGAGGGAGCAGUAUGUACUAGGAGGGAGCAGUGUGUACUAGGAGGGAGCAGUAUGUACUAGGAGGGAGCAGUGUGUACUAGGAGGGAGCAGUAUGUACUAGAGGGGAGCAGUAUGUACUAGGAGGGAGCAGUAUGUACUAGGAGGGAGCAGUGUGUACUAGGAGGGAGCAGUAUGUACUAGGAGGGAGCAGUAUGUACUAGAGGGAGCAGUAUGUACUAGGAGGGAGCAGUGUGUACUAGGAGGGAGCAGUAUGUACUAGGAGGGAGCAGUAUGUACUAGGAGGGAGCAGUAUGUACUAGGAGGGAGCAGUAUGUACUAGGAGGGAGCAGU